CCCUUUUACCUCUGUGGACUAUAACUGGACCCCUGGGUUGGGUACGACUUUGGAGACUCUCCCCAACACAACAAGACGGAUCCCCAUCAUCCAGACCAGUGAGGACCUCGCCUGUGUUGAUGGGACCCUGUGAUUGCUGCUGAGGAUCCCAUGACUCGAAUACUCUCCAGCCGGCACCAAAGGAUUCUUGGGGUGCUCAUUGGCGCUGCGACCCUCUGCCGCUCACAACGUCCCCUGGAGAGAGAGGGACUGCAUUUUAGGGGGAUGCACUGGUGAGCCAAGAG
Molecule: long non-coding RNA, 284 nt
Organism: Taeniopygia guttata (zebra finch)
Lineage: Eukaryota; Metazoa; Chordata; Aves; Passeriformes; Estrildidae
Source: RefSeq, a predicted model, not a curated record